Juglans regia (Persian walnut) is the source of this 2572-nucleotide RNA transcript. It is a transcript of the gene named rust resistance kinase Lr10-like, with no coding region annotated. NCBI's taxonomy places the organism in Eukaryota, Viridiplantae, Streptophyta, Magnoliopsida, Fagales, Juglandaceae. The record is from RefSeq and is a predicted model, not a curated record. The transcript has 4 exons.
GCCAUAUCAACGUGCAAAAUAGUAUUUGUAGACGUAGCAAUGUAGCAUUCCUCAAAUUGCGUUUUCACGGCCUAGCUUAUCCCAAAAUCCUCUCUCUCUCAAUGGUGUUAAUUGCCGCAAGAGGAAUAACGUCGAUCAUCCCUUCUGGAGUCAUGGUCAUCAUGAUUGCUGCUCUACUCCUACUCCUACUCCCUCAAACCUUUUGCCUUAAGAUAUUCUACUGUGAUACCUAUUCCGUUACUCCUUCAUCCUGCGCCAAUCACAGCAUAAGAUUUCCAUUUCGACUAAAAGGCGAAGCCACAAAAUGCAGUGGCCAAACUUAUGAGCUCUCAUGCGAGAACAACCAUGAAUUGCUGUUCUACUCUGAUCUUGGUGGAAAAUACUACGUGCAGCAACUCAAUUACGAUAACCGAACGAUCCGACUGGUAGAUUCGGGCAUUCAGGAGGAUAAUUACUCCUUCAUCCCUCGUUUUAUUAUAAACUAUAGCAAUUUGAGUCGGCUACAGGGCCGGGGUUUGUACUAUGAAACAGGGUAUGGUAUUACUUAUACUGCAAAGGGUAUGGACUAUGAAUCAUGGUAUGGUACUACUAUUGCAAAGGGCGUGGCUAUUGUGAACUGUAAAAAGCCAGUCAAGAGUAAUUCUACUUCCUAUUUGUAUUUGGAAACGUCUUCUUCAACAUGCUCUAAUAACGGAUCUGCGUCUUCUUCAAACUCCUCUAGUUUAUCAAUAUCCCAAUAUUCCAAAAGCUAUAUAUAUGUCAAAGUUGGCACAACUGAAGCGGGGGAUGUGGAGGAUUCCUGCAAAAUAGAGCGAAUGUUUCUGACAUCAUGGCCAGGACCAAAUGCUGCAGACAACAUUAAUAUUUCCUGUGCAGACCUCCGCAAUGUCUUCUUAUCUGGUUUUGAGCUUCAAUGGUUCAUUCCCGGUUUUUCGAGACUCGACACCAUAAGAUUACUUCUGUUUAUAGUAUACAGGCAUGGGGCAGCAACUGUACUAGGAACUCCAUUUGUUGUUGCGUUUCUUAUAUAUAAAUGGCGAAGGAGGCAUUUGUCAAUGUAUGAUGCCAUUGAAGAAUUUCUUCAAAACCACAAUAACCUUAUGACAAUAAGGUACUCUUUCUCGGAAAUUAAGAAGAUGACAAAAAAUUUUAAGGAAAAAUUGGGUGAAGGAGGCUAUGGAACAGUAUUUAAAGGAACUCUUCGAAGCGGACGUCAUGUAGCUGUAAAAAUGCUAGGCAAGUCCAAAGCAAACGGACAAGAAUUUACAAACGAAGUGGCAACCAUUGGAAGGAUUCAUCAUGUUAAUGUAGUUCAACUAAUUGGCUUUUGCUUUCAUGGAUCAAAGCGUGCUCUUGUAUACGAGUUCAUGCCACAUGGGUCUCUAAACAAUUACAUCUUUUCCUUGGAAGGAAGUAUCCUCCUAAGCUGUGAGAAAACAUAUAAUAUUGCUCUAGGGGUGGCUCGUGGAAUUGAAUAUUUACAUCGAGGAUGUGACAUGCAAAUUUUGCAUUUCGACAUCAAACCUCACAACAUCCUUCUUGACGAGAAUUUUACCCCUAAGGUUUCUGACUUUGGCUUAGCAAAAUUGUACUCAAAAGAAAACAAUACUAUUUCUUUGACUGCUGCAAGAGGGACAUUGGGAUAUAUGGCUCCAGAGUUAUUCUACAAAAACAUUGGAGGUAUUUCAUACAAGGCAGAUGUUUAUAGUUUUGGAAUGCUCUUAAUGGAAAUGGUGGGCAAAAGAAAGAAUAUAAAUGCAUUUGCAGAACAUUCAAGCCAGAUUUACUUUCCUACGUGGGUGUAUGAUCAAUUCCGCAAUGGUAAAGAUAUUGAACAAAUGGAAUGUGUCACUGAAGAGGAAAAAGAGAUAGUUAAGAAGAUGAUCAUUGUUGCAUUAUGGUGUAUACAAAUGAAUCCUUGGAAUCGUCCUUCUAUGAGCAAAGUUGUAGAAAUGCUUGAAGGAGAUGCUGAACAAUUACAAAUACCUCCCAAGGCUCCCCUUUCAUCGCCAGAGAGAGUGAUAAAAGAUUGUGAAGUCCAUAAUUCAAGUCAAACUUGGACAUCAUCAACUUCAUGAAGAAAAAGCUAGCAUCCAAAUUUUAAAUGCGGACACAGGCAUCUGUUUUCUCCUAUUUGGAUGCGAUGAAUAUGGGCUUUUGACACCAACGCUGAUACGUAAGCUUCCCUUGAUUUCUAAUAAUAACCUGAUGCAAUGGAUAACACUUCAUUAUCAGCCAAUGUUUAAUUUCAUUCUUCCGUUUCAGGUCCUUCAUUUAUUUUAAGCUCAUUUUGGCUUUCUUGCAAACCAGAUAUCGACGGCCCAUUGCUUCAUAUUUUCUGCUCGUUGUAGGUAUUUUCUUUCUUCCUUUUCUGUUGGUGGUUACGAUAGGGAUUUCACUAUAUUUUGUGAAUCCUUGGGAUUUCAUUUUCUGGGUUAGUCAUUGCAUUUGAUUCUUCACUCUUUUCUCAAUUUGGGAUUUCUCUUGGGUAAGAGAAAAAAAAUCCAUGCAUUCAACUACUGAUCUUUGAAAUGGAAGAUCGGGAACGCAGUUGUUACUAACAUCAAGCACU